RNAcentral lists this ribosomal RNA (446 nucleotides) under uncultured bacterium. RNAcentral's name for it is "partial 16S ribosomal RNA". It matches the Rfam family "Bacterial small subunit ribosomal RNA", at positions 338 to 795 of the family's 1533-position model. The record is from RNAcentral.
CCUACGGGCGGCUGCAGUCGAGAAUCAUUCACAAUGGGGGAAACCCUGAUGGUGCGACGCCGCGUGGGGGCAUGAAGGUCUUCGGAUUGUAAACCCCUGUCAUGUGGGAGCAAAUUAAAAAGAUAGUACCACAAGAGGAAGAGACGGCUAACUCUGUGCCAGCAGCCGCGGUAAUACAGAGGUCUCAAGCGUUGUUCGGAAUCACUGGGCGUAAGGCGUGCGUAGGCUGUUUCGUAAGUCGUGUGUGAAAGGCGCGGGCUCAACCCGCGGACGGCACAUGAUACUGGGAGACUAGAGUAAUGGAGGGGGAACCGGAAUUCUCGGUGUAGCAGUGAAAUGCGUAGAUAUCGAGAGGAACACUCGUGGCGAAGGCGGGUUCCUGGACAUUAACUGACGCUGAGGCACGAAGGCCAGGGGAGCGAAAGGGAUUAGAUACCCUUGUAGUC